Molecule: non-coding RNA, 85 nt
Organism: Fukomys damarensis (Damara mole-rat)
Lineage: Eukaryota; Metazoa; Chordata; Mammalia; Rodentia; Bathyergidae
Source: Rfam
UUGUGUGCUGUGCCCUACUCAGAAAGGUACUGUUCACUUGCACCACAGGUAACCAGGGCCUUCUGAGUAGAGUAAGGCUCGACAG